Molecule: long non-coding RNA, 424 nt
Filed under: Nicotiana benthamiana
Lineage: Eukaryota; Viridiplantae; Streptophyta; Magnoliopsida; Solanales; Solanaceae
Description: long non-coding RNA (NBEN_LNC002205)
Source: RNAcentral
CAUACAAAACAGCAGAAUGAACCGAAGAUCACUCAAGAAUACAGGCAUUUGACUUCUCUAAGGAACACAGUAAAAUGUAUUACUCAUUUCUUUAAUUCAUCAGGAAGAUAAAAAAAAUUGUUAUAAAUCCAUUUGCAGAUUGUACGAGCAGUUGGUCUCUUGUUAGAUCCUGAGGCCUGAAAUGACACUUUCAAUGUCAGAGUCAUGCAAAAGAAGAAGCCCGAGGGAAAUACGUUUCAACAGGAGCCCAUAACAUUUGAGAUUGAAUGUUUGCAUAUAAGACAUCUAAAUCCAAACUCAAUGCCAAUUUCUGCUUUCAGAUACACAUUCACGGAGUCCUGCUACUAGGCACCGAGUGAAAUACCAUAGUAGGUUGGGAAAGUUGCUCUAAAAGGUUCUUAUAUUUACUUUUGGAAAAAAAAAA